Canis lupus familiaris (dog) is the source of this 1006-nucleotide long non-coding RNA. RefSeq lists it as uncharacterized. The transcript has 3 exons. The record is from RefSeq and is a predicted model, not a curated record. Lineage: Eukaryota; Metazoa; Chordata; Mammalia; Carnivora; Canidae.
GACCCAACUAUAGCACUGACUAAGGGCAAGUUAUUUUACCUCUCUGAGCCUCAUUUUCCUAUCUACAAAAAAAUCUACAAAAAAGCCACAGAAAUCACAGACGGAUGCAAAGAGCAAAGUUGGAAGGUCCCUUUGAGGUGCUGUAUUGCUUCCACCCAGGAUGAAAGAAGUGGGAAGUCUCCUCAGAGAAGUCUCAAGAAUCAUAGGCCAUGGUUCCAGGGGCUACAUCUUUUUCAAUUCAAGCCACUCAAGGCAGCUCCACUUGCCUGUGAUUGACAGAGAAGAAAGCAUACAACUCAGCUCUGGUUAAUAAAACCUAAGGAGAAGGACACUGUCUAGCUGACCAUUCUCACUUCCGACACUGACUACAAGUUUGGGGGUCUCAAGACCACCCUCAGUUUCAAUAAUUCGCUUUAAUUAUACCAGCCAUUUUAUGGUUUAUUACAGAGAAAGAACAUGGAUUGAAUCAGCCAAGGGAAGAAGUUCAAGAGAUACUGAGCUUGGAGUUUCCAGCUGUCCUCCUCCAGUGGACUCAUGCACAUGAUGCUCACCUCUCCCAGCAACCACAUGUGAUGACAAGCAUGGAGUGAUGCCAGCUAGGGGAGGCUCACUUGAAUCUUGGUAUCCAAGAGAUUUUAUUGGGGCUCAGUCAUAUAGACAUAACUGACCAACCCCAUGACUGACAUGAGUCUUCAGCCCCUCCAGAGGUGCAGCCACACAGCAAAGCCCAAGGCCGCCUACCAUAAAUCACAUUGGGGUUUUUUUUAUUUUAUUUAUUUAUUUUAAUUUAAAUUCAAUUAAUGAACCUUUAAUGUAGUAUUAAUUUCAGAGGUAGAGGUCAGUGAUUCAUGAGUUGAAUAUAAUACCCAGCGCUCAUUCCAUCCCAUGCCCUCCUUAAUGCCCAUCACCCAGUUACUCGAUGCCCCCAACCCCUCCCUUCAGUUUCUUUCCUAUGAUUAAGAGUCUCUGAUAGUUUGUCUCCUUCACUGAUCUCAUCUUGUUUUAU